CCCGGACCGGGGCACGGACCCGCGUACCCUGAAUCGGCAGGCGGACUCUCAACCACUGCGCCACCAGGGAAGCCCCUGUGAAAUUCUCGAGGGCAGGGAUCCUAUCUUUAUCUCUUCCAUCCUCCUCAGUUCCUAGGACAAGGUUAAAGUCCCAGGCUGGCAACCCGGAGCCCUCCAUCUCAGAGCACCUGGACCAGCGGGUCCCCCGGAUGGUGCUGAGGGCAUGCAUCCCAGGCAGAGGGACUGCUCCGAGCCGUCUGGGUUGCUUCUCAGCCUCGAGUUCCCGCUCGGACAAAGGAUGUACUCAACCAUAACGCCCAUGGGACCAAAGGCAAGGCGGCAGGUGGAAGCAGAGCUGCAAAGAUAGAAGUCGUUGGAGGAGCACGGAAAGACCUCACAUAAAAGCGAUGGAGCUGGCUGACAAGUCUGAGGACUACUGACGCUUUUGAAGGAAGAAACAGCAAUUUCAGAAAAUGAAUCCUGUGGUUUAGAAAGAAAUCAUCUGAACUUAAAGAAAGAAAGAAAAGAAGAGAAAAAAAUUGUUCUCAUUACAAAGAAAACAAUUUCCUUAGGCCUAGAGAAUUAUAGUCUAUUUAUGAAGGCUUCAACCCUCUGAGAUAUCUAGAUUUUGAGUGUCAAAAGGAACCUUUAAAGAUAGCUUUUUCAUCUGAGUCCUGAAUUUUACAGAAAGGAAACUGAGGCUCUGAGACAGUUUGGGACCAUAUAACUAGUUAGUGGAAGCUGACUCCCAGUUUUCCUGCCUUUAUCUUUUUCCUUUUUACUUUUGCUCUUUAAAUGACAAGGUAUUCAUAGGCCACUGGGAAGAAAAAAAAACAAGACAGCUUGUGCUUCUGCAAGAAAGGUCAGUGAGAGCUCCGAAACUUCUAGAAAGAAGAGAGUCAAAUUAAUCUAAUUCCAGGAAUAGUCUUGAUCUUAUUAGCUGAGGGACUGAAUAAGGAGGCAAAGGCCUUACAAAGCAAGAUUUAUUACUACUUUCCGUAAAAGCCCAGGGAAAAUGAAUAUUGGCUUAAUGGGGAUUUGGGUCUAUAAUUUGAUUCUUUGCCUCAGCUUAGAGAAACAACCCACAGACAAAAGGUCAGUGGAUCCUAGUAGUGAUCUCCUGAGCCAGUGAGGAAAGGGAUCACCUGCCAUUUCUCCAGGGACCCCUAGGAUCAGGAAUCACCUCUGUGGUAUGGAAACCUAGAAAGGAAGAAAUCCAGCAGACUCUUACUGGCCUGGAAAGUGUGUUAAAAGUGCCAGUACGGGCGUCCCUGGUGGCGCAGUGGUUGAGAGUCCACCUGCCGAUGCAGGGGACACAGG
Aethalodelphis obliquidens (Pacific white-sided dolphin) is the source of this 1320-nucleotide long non-coding RNA. RefSeq lists it as uncharacterized. The record is from RefSeq and is a predicted model, not a curated record. The transcript has 3 exons. NCBI's taxonomy places the organism in Eukaryota, Metazoa, Chordata, Mammalia, Artiodactyla, Delphinidae.